MicroRNA precursor from Callithrix jacchus (white-tufted-ear marmoset), 51 nucleotides. NCBI's taxonomy places the organism in Eukaryota, Metazoa, Chordata, Mammalia, Primates, Cebidae. The record is from Ensembl.
UUUGCCAUUACUUUCAAUGGCAAAAACCACAAUUACUUUUGCACCAACCUA